Long non-coding RNA from Mauremys mutica (yellowpond turtle), 858 nucleotides. RefSeq lists it as uncharacterized. The record is from RefSeq and is a predicted model, not a curated record. NCBI's taxonomy places the organism in Eukaryota, Metazoa, Chordata, Testudines, Geoemydidae. The transcript has 2 exons.
AUGCCAGAAUAGAUAAGGACUGGAAUCCUUAAUCUGUCUCUCUUAUGAGAAUUGGAGAGGUGUGUACAACUGAGCUAUGAGGACCGAAUGACAGCAGACCUUUAAAAGAUUUCAAAUGGAAGUGUGGAUCCCUUUGGAAAUUUUAGACAUAGCAUGUGGACCCCAGGUUGAAAACCACUGAUCUAUGUGCUGCAUUGGAAAACAUCCUAAAACAAACAAAAAAAACCCUCUGAACAAGGACCCUGCUCUUAAGACAGUUCUCUAAAUUGUUUCCAAUGAAUACAAAUACAUUGUGAGUAGUUGACCUCCUAAGUCUAACUUCACUGAGUUUCUGUGGACUUUUCUAAGUUCUUAAUGAAGACAGUGGAUAGAAUAAAAAGUGACUAUCCAAUAACAUUGAUUGAUAGUUCAUUAAGAACUGGAUGGACAAGAAAGAAGUGACUAUUAUAGAGACCAGCAAUGUAUGGAUAAAACAAAAAUAUUCUAAACACUUAAAUUCAACAUUACAACUUUCAUUUAAUAGGGAUGUAAGAUAUAGUAAAUGAUUAGUGCUGCUUCCUGCUAGACAGAAAGCAAGUCUGCCUUUAAGGUUUCAUGACUUUUAGAGUUCUCUAGCUGUACUUAAACACACUUAUGAAUAAGUCAUCAGUAUUUUUCCUCUGUGGUAUACAUUUAUUUCAUGAGAGGAAUUUUUAGCUUCUUGAUGAUAUCGUCUAGCCAUACCAUAUUACCGUAUAUUUAGAAGUAAUUAGUUUUCUGACUGCAGUACAAGAGGGUGUGAUGCAUUUAAGUUAAAAUUGAUUUUUUAAAAUCUACUGUAUGUUUCCACUGUUGGAAAUAAAGUUACUUUUCUUCAAA